This is a long non-coding RNA of Mytilus trossulus (common blue mussel), 1339 nucleotides long. RefSeq lists it as uncharacterized. NCBI's taxonomy places the organism in Eukaryota, Metazoa, Mollusca, Bivalvia, Mytilida, Mytilidae. The record is from RefSeq and is a predicted model, not a curated record. The transcript has 5 exons.
AGUAAGGUUUAAAUUCUCAUUUUCUUUCUUAGUGAUGAUACUGGCGAAAUCAAACGAAAAAGGAUAAAUUAUUUCAUAGUUAAAAAUUUGGAAACCAUUUCACAGAAGAAAACAUUGAUUUUUAGUAUCAUAAUUAUCAUCCACAUAGUCUGUGUCUGCGAUUCUGAUUGGUUGCUUUGGGAAGCAGUUAAUUCCUGAAAAUUAUAAAAGAUCAAUGCCAGAGUGGUGAUUCUUUGAGACUUCAACAAAUAGUGAACUAACUGCCGUACGAAAUGCAAAAUAUGAAUAUAAACUUUUCAAUUUAUGUGGUAUUUUUAACAACAUUAUUAUGUAUAAAUAGUAGUGCUGCAACUCAAACUACGGACCCAAAAAUAUUGGCUAUUUGUGAGUACAUUUGUAACAUACUGGAACCAUAUAGUAAUGGAAACGGCUGUCCUCCAGAGUGCCCUCAAAGAUAUUUAGGACCUUGGUCAAAACGAAGUAUAAAUCCUUACAAAAGAAAUUCUAAGCGAGCAUUUCAUCCACAUAGUUCAGAUUUACGGGGCAUCUCGUUUGACGAUUACGGUUGGUUUAUGAAACUGUUGGGCCGGAACAAUAUUUAAGAAUGCGGAAUCUAGUUGGUUCCUGUAUACAAUAGAAUUAAGAACAAUGGAAUCUCAAAAAACAUGUAUACAGAUAUAUACCUGAGAAAAUACUUCCAAAGGAUAAAGCAAAUAUUUAAAUAUUACAGAAACUUGACAUUUUCAUUCAGUUUAUUAUACUCCCACACUUGCUUAGAACUGCAAAUAUAGUGAUCAUUGUGACAGUACUUCAUCCAUACGUUAACUUGUCUCUUCGAACUUUUCUUUGUACGCAUCCAAUUUGUUUUCGUUGCUUAUUGUGAUUUCCCAAAGCAAAACUCCUACCCUACCAAAUCUAUAAGAGGUGUUGGGAUUUUAUAUAUAGGCUUCUUCUCAUGGAUUAGUAUCUCUCUCCUUUAACCGUAAUCGGACAGGAUUUAAACGAAACUUGCACCGAAUCUGUAGAACUUAUCUGUUGUUUAUUUCCUAUUUUAUUGUCUGAUUUGAAUGAGUUUUAGAAUUUCCAUAGUCGCCUUAUCUUUUCAAAUGGGAUUGAGAGUGAGGGUAUGAAUAUGAGGGUUUACUCAAAGCCUUUUUUGUUUUUGUUUAUUUUAGUUUGAUUUAUUAGAAAUUAUGCUUACAGCGGGUCUGUAAAAUAAUUAUUUAUGAUACAUGUAUUAUACAUAUAUUUUUGAGUGUGUAAUAUUUAUUUAAAUGUGAAAAUUUGUUUGUUUUUCAUGAAAUUAAAAAAAAAUGUUUUCAUUGUGAAAAUGCAUCAA